This 410-nucleotide ribosomal RNA is filed under the name uncultured bacterium. Its description in RNAcentral is "bacterial SSU rRNA". It matches the Rfam family "Bacterial small subunit ribosomal RNA", at positions 354 to 776 of the family's 1533-position model. The record is from RNAcentral.
GUGGGGAAUAUUGCACAAUGGGCGAAAGCCUGAUGCAGCGACGCCGCGUGAGGGAUGACGGCCUUCGGGUUGUAAACCUCUUUCGACAGGGACGAAGCGCAAGUGACGGUACCUGUAGAAGAAGCACCGGCCAACUACGUGCCAGCAGCCGCGGUAAUACGUAGGGUGCGAGCGUUGUCCGGAAUUACUGGGCGUAAAGAGCUUGUAGGCGGUUUGUCGCGUCGUCUGUGAAAACUCACAGCUCAACUGUGAGCUUGCAGGCGAUACGGGCAGACUUGAGUACUGCAGGGGAGACUGGAAUUCCUGGUGUAGCGGUGAAAUGCGCAGAUAUCAGGAGGAACACCGGUGGCGAAGGCGGGUCUCUGGGCAGUAACUGACGCUGAGAAGCGAAAGCGUGGGUAGCGAACAGG